ACGUGUCCGAACCAUCUCAAUCGUGCUUCCCGCAUCUUGCACUCCACUGAAGUCACACCAACCUUCUCCCGGAUAGUCUCAUUCCGAACUCUAUCCUCUCUAGUCAGUCCACACAUCCAGCGCAACAUCUGCAUUUCUGCCACCUUCAUUUUUUGGAUGUGGGAGUUCUUAACUGGCCAACACUCCGCUCCAUACAGCAAGGCCGGACGGACUACCACCCUAUAGAAUUUGCCUUUAAGCUUGGGCGGCACCUUCUUAUCACACAGCACCCCCGAUGCGAGUUUCCACUUCAUCCAUCCCGCCCCAAUACGGUGCGAGACAUCCUCGUCAAUCUCACCGUUACUCUGGAUCACGGACCCAAAUAUUUGAACUUAUCCCUCUUACAUACCUCCUGUGCUUCCAGCUUCACUACCACCUCAUUUUCCCGCCUCACGUCAUUAAACUUGCAUUCCACAUACUCUGUCUUGCUUCUGCUCACCCUGAACCCUUUAGACUCAAGAGUUCUCCUCCACACCUCUAAUUUGUCAUUCACACCCCCUCGAGUCUCAUCUAUCAGAACUACAUCGUCUGCAAAGAGAAUACACCCCGGCACCUCCCCUUGAAUACGCCGCGUCAACACAUCCAUCACCAACGCAAACAAAAAGGGACUAAGAGUAGAUCCCUGAUGCAAUCCUGUCAGGACAGUGAAAUGCUCUGAGUCUCCUCCCGCCGUCCUCACCUGGGUUUUCGCUCCCUCAUACAUAUCCUUAAUUACUCUGAUAUAUGCCUGCGGUACUCCACUCACCUCCAAGCAUCUCCAAAGCACCUCCCUGGGGACUUUGUCGUAAGCCUUUUCCAGGUCGAUAAACACCAUGUGCAGAUCCUUCUUCCUCUCCCUAUACUGCUCCACCA
Molecule: long non-coding RNA, 891 nt
Filed under: Capsicum annuum
Lineage: Eukaryota; Viridiplantae; Streptophyta; Magnoliopsida; Solanales; Solanaceae
Description: long non-coding RNA (CANN_LNC020835)
Source: RNAcentral